Molecule: ribosomal RNA, 254 nt
Filed under: uncultured bacterium
Lineage: Bacteria
Description: partial 16S ribosomal RNA
Rfam family: Bacterial small subunit ribosomal RNA
Source: RNAcentral
UACAGAGGUGCCAAGCGUUAGGCGGAAUCACUGGGCGUAAAGGGCGCGUAGGCGGCUUUGGCAGUCGGUUUGUGAAAGCCCGGGGCUCAACUCCGGAUCUGCGGUGGGUACGGGCAGACUAGAGUGAUGUAGGGGAGACUGGAAUUCCUGGUGUAGCGGUGAAAUGCGCAGAUAUCAGGAGGAACACCGAUGGCGAAGGCAGGUCUCUGGGCAGUAACUGACGCUGAGGAGCGAAAGCAUGGGGAGCGAACAGG